GAUGAACGCUGGCGGCGUGCCUAAUACAUGCAAGUCGAGCGAACGGACGAGAAGCUUGCUUUUCUGAUGUUAGCGGCGGACGGGUGAGUAACACGUGGAUAACCUACCUAUAAGACUGGGAUAACUUCGGGAAACCGGAGCUACUACCGGAUAAUAUUUUGAACCGCAUUGUUCAAAAGUGAAAGACGGUCUUUCUGUCACUUAUAGAUUGAUCCGCGCUGCAUUAGCUAGUUGGUAAGGUAACGGCUUACCAAGGCAACGAUGCAUAGCCGACCUGAGAGGGUGAUCGGCCAGACUGGAAGUGAGAACCGGCACAGACUCCUACGGGAGGAAGCAGUAGGGAAUCUUACGCAAGGGGCGAAAGGCGGAUGGAGCAAAGCCGCGUGAGUGAUGAAGGACCAAGGACCGGAAAACGAUGUUAUUAGGGAAGAACAUAUGUGUAAGUAACUGUGCACAUAUUGACGGUACCUAAUCAGAAAGCCACGGCUAACUACGUG
RNAcentral lists this ribosomal RNA (497 nucleotides) under uncultured bacterium. Its description in RNAcentral is "partial 16S ribosomal RNA". It matches the Rfam family "Bacterial small subunit ribosomal RNA", at positions 28 to 507 of the family's 1533-position model. The record is from RNAcentral.